GCGCGCUCUCGCUCUCCCUCUCGGUUUCCUCCCUGAUUUAUUCCCCCGAUUGCCGAGGCGAAGGCGGAGGCGGGGGCGGGGGCGGAGGAGGGGUGACGGCGCUGGAGGGUGGGGGUGGCUGCAGGAAUGGGGGAAUGGCAGGCAGAGAGACUUGUGGAAGCGAGAGGCUCCGUCUGGCUUCUCAGGAGAAGCUUCUGAAAGAAAGAGACCCUUAUUAAUCGGAAAUGGAUUUUCCAGCUCUCUGAAGGCAAUCUCCCAAAACAAAGACUGAUAAUACUAGUACUACUAUUAACUACUGACCAGAUUUUAAAAGCGUGUGUGAUUUUAUGAUGCUUAGCAUCAUGAAUUGUUUUUCCUUCCUACUUAUCUCUCCUUUUUUAAUGCUUUAUUUGUUUUCUUUAUGUUCUCUGCAUCUCUGUCUGGCUCUUUGUUUCUUUCUUUCUACUCUGAGUGGCCUCACAAAAGGCACCCCACCGUGACUUAACUUAGUUUGUUUUAUGCUAGGCAUGGAGACUGUGGCAGCAGGAGCUGCGCAAAUGAGGGAUGAAGUGGGAUGUAAUGGGACUGAGAACUACAGCUCAGAAGGGAUAUUUUAUAUAACUGAAGAUAGCAUUCCACUCCAAAAUUAGAUAAGCAAAUAGUCAAAUUCAUCAUUUCUUCCAUUUUUUAAUAAUUCAAAAGCAGACAUUCUUCCCCAGCAUGAGGAUGAAGAAGAGCAGAAUUAGAUGCCCAUUAUUGUCUAUGUGAUAUGUUGGUAUCAUAAUACGCUCACUACCUAAAAAUAUCAUUAUUAUAUAUUCUGUCAAUUAUUUCAACAUCAACUCCAGACUUCCCACUAUGGUACACUGUUUCCAAUUUUAUAUCUUUAGGAGAAAGGGCUUAAAGAAUAAAAGAAUGUAAUAAGCUUGUAGAGAAGGUAAGUCAGCUUUUAUUAUUAACUUUGUUGGCCUUUGAGCCAAAUCUCAAUUUCUUUGGAUCACUCUGAUGAAGCACUGUGUUCUCCAAUAUGUGAAGCUGUUGAGGAAAGAUAUUGCUUCUACAAUUCUUACUGAAAGGGUUGAUUAUCAACUGUGAGCCUACACCAUUGUUUAAAACUCUGUUGUGAGGUUUGCUAUUAAUUGCUUUUUACCAAUCUAAACCUUUUUAUUGAGGAUAUUCAAAAUGUGUGGGUUUUUUUAAUGUAUGACAGCUAAAAGAAGACCAUUUCCAUAACAUAGCAUUAUGUUUCUGUUGGAUUAACUAUACCCAUAACGGUGCAUUUUUUCAGCUCAGUUCUGUUAUUUUGGAAAAUCCCCUUAAAAUCAGAUUUUAUCCCAUUAAUCUUAAUAAAAUGUUGCUUAAUCACGAUAAAUUUGCUAUUCAACAUAAAAUGUUGACAGAUCAUAAGGAUUGAUGUUAAGCUGUUAUAGUAAAUGAUGUAAAUGUGCAGUAAAUACAGUAAAUAUAUUAGAGGUUAUAAAUGUGCAAGAAGUCACAAAUCAAUAUCUACUAUUCAUUUAAAAAGAAAUAUUUUAAUUAGAAAGUAAGUUAGUAAAGUAUUGCGGGAGAUUUUUGCAUUUAAUCAUUUCUAGAACAAAGUUUAAAGAGAUUUAAUUCAUGCAAAUCACUGACCUUUACCUACCACAAACUUGAGAUUAGCACCUUUUGGCUCAAUCUCAAUUGUUAAUUCAUAUGUUUAAUUUGUUCAUAUGCAUUUCAUUUUUUAGUAACUAAGAGUAAAUAAAAAACAAUAAAAACC
Molecule: long non-coding RNA, 1738 nt
Filed under: Macaca mulatta (Rhesus monkey)
Lineage: Eukaryota; Metazoa; Chordata; Mammalia; Primates; Cercopithecidae
Description: lncRNA (ENSMMUG00000047078.2)
Source: RNAcentral